AUUCUGGGCUGCGGGCCUGGGAAGGGCUCGCCGGGUGCCAAAUGAGCUGUCCUAACUCUGCGGGGCUGCAGCUUCCUGCAUGAUGCUGGGGAGCUUGGCGCCUGACCCAGGAUCUAGAAGGCACUCUGGGCAGGCCGCGCUCCGCCCACGAAGGUACCCAACCCUCUGGGAUAGAUGCAGGAAGCGAUGGUUAAGACCCAUUUUCACCCAACUUCUCGCCGCAGGUCUGGCUUACCACACGCUCCUCCCCAUUCCCAGUGAGCCGCUUUUUGCAGCACCAGGCGAACACUUACACCAGUGCUUUGUAAAGGAAUCUUAUUGUCCACCCCGUGUCUUGGCAAAAGAACAGUGAUCACACAGAUUCCUACUUGGGCUCUUUCCUUUAAUCUUCGGAGGCUGAGUUUGCCCAACUCAGGUUUAACCACCAAGGACUCUGAGAGCUGGCAGGUCUGAGUAACCCUGGUAACAAUUCUCUUCACCUUAUCAAAACCUGAGCUAAAACCAAUGCAUCAGCUGAUGAUGACAGCAGAGAGUGGCAGGGCUGAGGACCCAAAGUCAUUUCCCAGGCUGGCGGAGAGUGAGUAAAUGAGAUUCUAAAACUAAACAAGGGAGGUCAGAGACUCUUUCCAACCUUACCUGAUGGCUUCUGGCCAAAGCAAGGAAGUGUCUUGGAAGGUGUUGGUUGGUGAUGGUGCGAAAAGACACUUGAGAAGGAGGGAAGAAAAAGCAGCGCCCCUUGAUAAAGGUUUUUUUCUCAGUCAACUGAAUUCUUUUUCUCCACUUUGUUUUGCCACUCUUAAUGCAUGCAUGAGAGGCCCUAAGAUAAUUUCUGAUGGCCUGGGACUCCUUGGGAAAAAAAUGAAAAGGCACCACAGGUUCCAUUUUGGGAGAAACCUCCAUUUUCCUCAUGAAACCGCAGGAAUUAGAGGCAGAUAAACUGCCAGGGAGAAGAAUGAGAAGACAGGAGACAAACUGUUUGGAAAGCUAAAUCUUCCCUCUUAAUGAAUAAAGGUUUUUGCCUUGUC
Molecule: long non-coding RNA, 1025 nt
Filed under: Homo sapiens (human)
Lineage: Eukaryota; Metazoa; Chordata; Mammalia; Primates; Hominidae
Description: TP53 target 1
Source: RNAcentral